CUCCUGCUCCCCACGCCAACUCCUAGGCUCCUUCCUCCUCUUCUCCGCCUCCUCCUCCUCCUCCUCGCACGCCGGUGCUACUGUAAUACAGAAUGACAGCAUCAAUGCUAGCUAAGGUUCAACAUAAUGAGGCAUGAAUGCUGCAUAAGGACCAGCAGCAAGCUAGAAAAUGAAAAGCGACUGGCUAUUUCCUCAACAACUUUGUGAAGUGGAAGGCUAGUUCUUCUACAAUUGCUGGUCCUUUGGUUUCUGGCAAUAUAAAAAUGUUGUUCUAUAACACACAACUGCACCAUACUCCCAAAUUUCCCAAUUUAGCAGACAGUCCUUCUUAAUCCGAGCCACAGAUCCCCACCGGCUUGGCUGAGGUGGUUCAGGACUGCUUCGGAAAUGAGGGAAUACAGUUUCACAAAACUCUGGAUUCACUUAGGCGUCUUUCAGAAAAAACUUAUUGACCUAAUUUGAGUUGAUUUAGUGAAAAGCUCUCAGUGGUACUGGGAAUGGGAUUGAAGAGGGAGGGCCCUAAAAUGCCCUCCCUUCUAGCUCAUACUGCAUUUGAGAAAAAUAGCAAUAAAAUGCCUGGAUAAAAAUGCUUAGCAGUAAUACAA
Anolis carolinensis (green anole) is the source of this 605-nucleotide long non-coding RNA. RefSeq lists it as uncharacterized. The record is from RefSeq and is a predicted model, not a curated record. Lineage: Eukaryota; Metazoa; Chordata; Lepidosauria; Squamata; Anolidae. The transcript has 3 exons.